AUUGAACGCUGGCGGAACGCUUUACACAUGCAAGUCGAACGGCAGCACGGACUUCGGUCUGGUGGCGAGUGGCGAACGGGUGAGUAAUGUAUCGGAACGUGCCCAGUCGUGGGGGAUAACGUAGUGAAAAUUACGCUAAUACCGCAUACGAUCUAUGGAUGAAAGCGGGGGAUCGCAAGACCUCGCGCGAUUGGAGCGGCCGAUAUCAGAUUAGGUAGUUGGUGGGGUAAAGGGCCACCAAGCCAACGAUCUGUAGCUGGUCUGAGAGGACGACCAGCCACACUGGAACUGAGACACGGUCCAGACUCCUACGGGAGGCAGCAGUGGGGAAUUUUGGACAAUGGGCGAAAGCCUGAUCCAGCCAUUCCGCGUGCAGGAUGAAGGCCCUCGGGUUGUAAACUGCUUUUGUACAGAACGAAAAGGUUUCUACUAAUACUAGGAGCUCAUGACGGUACUGUAAGAAUAGGCACCGGCUAACUACGUGCCAGCCGCCGCAGUAA
Molecule: ribosomal RNA, 500 nt
Filed under: uncultured bacterium
Lineage: Bacteria
Description: partial 16S ribosomal RNA
Rfam family: Bacterial small subunit ribosomal RNA
Source: RNAcentral